This 462-nucleotide ribosomal RNA is filed under the name uncultured bacterium. RNAcentral describes it as "partial 16S ribosomal RNA". It matches the Rfam family "Bacterial small subunit ribosomal RNA", at positions 28 to 507 of the family's 1533-position model. The record is from RNAcentral.
GAUGAACGCUGACAGAAUGCUUAACACAUGCAAGUCUUUCGCGAAGCUGUUCUUGCACAGCCUAGCCAAGGCGGACGGGUGUGUAACGCGUAAGGAACUUGCCCUGCAGUCAUGGAUAACAGACGGAAACGACUGAUAAGACCUGGUGAAGUCAGGCGGACACAUUUCUAGCCUGAUGAAAAGGGAUGCUGCAGUACAGCCUGGCGUCCUAUUGGCUUGUUGGUGGGGUAUCGGCCCACCAAGGCGAUGAUAGCUAGCCGGCCUGAGGGGGUGAAGGGCAAAAGGGGGACGGAGUUGCGGCCUUUACUCCUCCGGAAGGCGGCGGUGGGGAGUAUGGGAAAAGGGGGCAACCCUGAUCCAGCAAUUCUGUGUGCACGAUGAAGGUUUUCGGAUUGUAAAGUGCUUUCAGCAGGGAAGAAAAAAAUGACGGUACCUGCAGAAGAAGCGACGGCUAAAUACGUG